GGUGUUCGUCCUGAGAGUAAAGUAAGAGGUUACUUCAUUUUCCAUACACUGGAGAUUCCUCGCGCGCCAAAUCCACCACACUGCAGCUAGAAACAGAAAACUAGAGGGACCAUCUAUGCCAUUGUGCAGCCAUCCAUACAAAUUAUCACCCUAGAAGAAUGUCUGGUCCACAAAACCGAUAGCUUUCCAGAAACACUUUAUGAACUCACAAUUUCUUAAACAGUGUAAGGUUGUCUCUUCGUCAAUGUUGCAUCUAGN
RNAcentral lists this long non-coding RNA (258 nucleotides) under Trifolium pratense (red clover). RNAcentral describes it as "long non-coding RNA (TPRA_LNC012512)". The record is from RNAcentral. Lineage: Eukaryota; Viridiplantae; Streptophyta; Magnoliopsida; Fabales; Fabaceae.